Molecule: ribosomal RNA, 433 nt
Filed under: uncultured bacterium
Lineage: Bacteria
Description: partial 16S ribosomal RNA
Rfam family: Bacterial small subunit ribosomal RNA
Source: RNAcentral
AACGAACGCUGGCGGCAUGCCUAACACAUGCAAGUCGAACGAGACCUUCGGGUCUAGUGGCGCACGGGUGCGUAAGGCGUGGGAACCUGCCCUUAGGUUCGGUAUAACUCCCCGAUAGGGGUGCUAAUACCGGGUAAUGUCUUCGGACCAAAGAUUUAUCGCCUUUGGAUGGGGACGCGUUGGAGUAGGUAGUUGGUAGGGUAAAAGCCUAGCAAGGGGCCGAUCAAUAGCUGGUCUGAGAGGAGGAUCAGCCACACUGGGACUGAGACACGGCCCAGACUCCUACGGGAGGAAGCAGGGGGGAAUAUUGGAGCGUGGGCGAGAGCGUGAUCCAGCCAUGCCGCUUGAGAGAUUAAGUCCUUAGGGUUGGAAAGCUCUCUUACCCGUGAGGAUAAUGACAGUAGCGGGAGAAUAAGCGCCGGCUAACUCCGUG